RNAcentral lists this ribosomal RNA (220 nucleotides) under Salmonella enterica subsp. enterica serovar Typhi. RNAcentral describes it as "partial 16S ribosomal RNA". It matches the Rfam family "Bacterial small subunit ribosomal RNA", at positions 1 to 218 of the family's 1533-position model. The record is from RNAcentral. Lineage: Bacteria; Pseudomonadati; Pseudomonadota; Gammaproteobacteria; Enterobacterales; Enterobacteriaceae.
AAAUUGAAGAGUUUGAUCAUGGCUCAGAUUGAACGCUGGCGGCAGGCCUAACACAUGCAAGUCGAACGGUAACAGGAAGCAGCUUGGCUGCUUUGCUGACGAGUGGCGGACGGGUGAGUAAUGUCUGGGAAACUGCCUGAUGGAGGGGGAUAACUACUGGAAACGGUGGCUAAUACCGCAUAACGUCGCAAGACCAAAGAGGGGGACCUUCGGGCCUCUU